Molecule: non-coding RNA, 863 nt
Organism: Nicotiana tabacum (common tobacco)
Lineage: Eukaryota; Viridiplantae; Streptophyta; Magnoliopsida; Solanales; Solanaceae
Source: RefSeq, a predicted model, not a curated record
AUAAGUUCUCUUGAAGCUUUGCAAAAAACUCGAAGAGAAUAAGAAUCAUUUGAUAUUUAAUUAUGUUAAUUAAAGAAAGGGGUUUGCAUUUAUCAGAUUAAAUAGCUGGGUUUCAUUCCUCUUCAAUAGAGAGCAUUCCAAAAAGCCAUCGACGAUAGAUCCACAUUGUCGUUGUAGUCACUUUUGGCACAGUGCUUUUCUCAAGUUCUUUUCUUUCCAAGCCAUUUUUGGAGCACGCUGUUAAUUCCUUUGAAUGGAGGAGGAAGACAUCAAGUAGUAGACUAGUAGGAGAAAAAGAGGAGGAAUUCUCAGUUUCAUUUCCCGGAGAGCUCGGAAUGAAGAUCCACAUUGCCAUCGUCGAGAAGUGAAGAACAAUGUGUAGUGAAUGAGAAGAACCAAAGUUAGGUGGAGCAGCGAAGGAUACGAAAACAAACGCAGUGAAGGACUACUGGAUCAAAUGUAGUUACCUACUUAGUUAUGGGAAAACAAAAGCAAUAAUGUGCUCGUAAAAAUGCCAUAUGGAUUGACCUUGCACCCAGAUUCAGAAAAUGCUGCUAUUUAGGAGAGUUAUGGUAUAUGAUACUUAUAUUUUUCUCCUGUCUCUUUUUUUGUGCAGGUUGAACAGAAACUUCUACAGGAAAAACAAUGCAGUUAUUUGCUUUUGUUCUUAUCCAAUAUCUUUUAAUUCAACGUACCAAUAUACUGUUGAACUUAUUUUAUUGCCUUUUAUUGUGAUGAUACAUCUUUACUUGCUCUAUCAAUUUUGGAAGAAAGUAUACACAAUUGUGAUAUGGUAAGUUCAAUAUUUUUUCUUAAUAAUAGGUAAUUGAAACUCUUUGAUGCUUUAUGAGAUUAUUGACUGU